RNAcentral lists this long non-coding RNA (2184 nucleotides) under Pogona vitticeps (central bearded dragon). Its description in RNAcentral is "lncRNA (ENSPVIG00000006282.1)". The record is from RNAcentral. Lineage: Eukaryota; Metazoa; Chordata; Lepidosauria; Squamata; Agamidae.
UAAUAAUAAUAAUAAUAAUAAUAAUAAUAAUAAUAAUAAUAAUAAUAAUAAUAAUAAUAAUAAUAAUAAUAAUAAUAAUAAUAAUAAUAAUAAUAAUAAUAAUAAAAUAGUGUAAAAUUUCAUGAUAUUGUUCCCAAACCCCAAUGAGCAUUGACUAGAUCAGGAAAUUGUCCAGGGUCCUUCAUGGCAUUCCCUAGCUAUUGUUCACCAAAUAUAAGGAUUUCUUUGCCAAAAUGUAAGAGCUUUCUGUGAAUACAGCCACUACUGAAAACUAUACUGUUGCUUGACUUUUUGCAUCUGAGUGAGAAAUUUUGCUGCCGUUUCCCUGAUGUGUUUGAGACACCCCUUUUCACUGCAUAGGAAUAUAAAUCUAAGAAUGGGAAAAUUUAAGUGAUUCACCAUAUCUGUAUCUUUGCAGAGUUUGUAUUUCUGAGAUGUUUUUCUUAUCACAAAACUUAGCUGUUGAAAAGCAAUAGUCCAGUAUAGAGGUGGGAGGUACAAUUCCCUGAAUCACCCUAGACACCAUAGUGAAAGGCUAGACUAUUCAGGAAAUUAGAGACUUCAAAAAAAUCUCUUUCCUCGGCUCUCAUCCAACAUCUUUAAAAGCAGCCGAGGAGUUUAAUAGCAAACGUUCAGCUGUUCUGCCAGGCUAUUCCAGCUGCAGAAUGAAAAUUCCGUGACAGUUGGAGUCUCAGACGCUUGAGCAUUGACUAGAGAGGGGAAUUAUCCAGAGUCCUUCUUGGCUUUUCCUGGCUGUCUUUCAAAGCGGCUGCUGUUUUCUUUUUUUAAAGAACGUGUUGGAUGAAACAGAAAUCCAAGGAAAGCCAAUUACAGGAUUGGGAUCAAUGAUUCACUAUAGACUCAUAAGUGUUUCUAUUUCCCUUGUUAAUGUUCUCCUCUUAAUGGUAAGCCAUGCCUCCCACGGCUGGACCAUAUUCACCCGUAAUGCUGAUAUUUAUAAUUCUGGACUCUGGAUCGUGUGCACUCUGAAAUUUGGAUGCCACUCCAUGCCGUCUACCGAUGUGUACCUGGAUAUUACUCGAAGCUUCAUGGUGUUAGGUCUUCUUGCAUCUAUUAUAGCUAUGGUAUGGGCCAUAGACUGGGACCAUGUCAUCCACUGCAACUUCACCUUCGUGCCCAAAUCUCUGAUGACUUCCAUCUUCAGCUUCCUUUCAGGAAUCUGUGUGCUACUUGCUCUGUUGGUGUUUGAAUUUAAGCUGAACCAGAAAUCUAAAUCUGUGCCCAAUUCUAAAAAAUGGGCUUUUUACUUAACCUUUCCUGUCUGUGGCUUAUGCUUCUUGUCAGGCAUUUUCAACUUAGUCACCUACAAGAUGCAUCUCUGGGGAACAGGAAAAUCAUGCACCCACAUGGGUCCAGAUGGCAUCAGCGCUGCUGACGAAGAUGAUCCACACAUUGUUAAAAUGACCCCUUCUCUGCUCUGAACCGAGUCAGCUCCAAUUGCAUGGACAUCUUAGGUCAAGAUGUCAGCUACACAUGAGGCAGUUUACAACGGGUACGAACCUCCUUGGGAGAUACUUGGCCAAGGAACAGAUUCUGGCACAUUUUUUUUUUUUUUUGGAGGGGAUUGAAAAGUUGGUUUCCUCAGCACCUCCUCUGUUUCAUGCUGGUUAGCAUUGCCAGAGAUUUCUUCAUUUAAAAGAAUCCUUCCCCUCUUCAUUAAACAUCUGUUUAUUCAAUAUGAUUCUCCAGAGAUAGCAAUUUGAUGGCUCAACAGAUGAUUAGAUGUUCUUCCUCACCCCUAUCCUUGGUCAGAACUAUUUACUGCUAUUAAAUACCACAUUGAUGAAAAAACAAAUACUGUGGGCUCCUGUCUUUUAAGCUACUAUGGUCUCUUCUGUUGUGUGUGCAUACUACACUAGAUAGCCCAACGUUUGGGUCAAAAUAAGAUAGAUGCCCCCGUCUUCAAGUGCUCUAGCAUGUUUACUCAAUAUUUUAUCCUAGUCCUUUCUAUUUGUUUACAUGAAAAACAAACCUUGAGAAGAUGGAGAUCCUGUUCUUGGGAGGGCAUCCUGAUCAGUUAAGGGGGCCUGUUACACGAUCUUGAUGAGGUCACUCUCCCCUUGAAGGAUCAGGUGUGAAAUCUGGGUGUGCUUCUGGAUCUGGCCCUCUUGAUGGAGAAACAGAUCCUGGCUGUGGCCAAAUCUGAGGCAGAGUGCACAACUC